GUGGGGAAUAUUGGGCAAUGGGGGAAACCCUGACCCAGCAACGCCGCGUGAGGGAAGAAGGUUUUCGGAUUGUAAACCUCUGUCCUUGGUGACGAAGGAAGUGACGGUAGCCAAGGAGGAAGCCCCGGCUAACUACGUGCCAGCAGCCGCGGUAAUACGUAGGGGGCAAGCGUUGUCCGGAAUGACUGGGCGUAAAGGGCGUGUAGGUGGCCGAUUAAGUCUGGAGUGAAAGUCCUGCUUUCAAGGUGGGAAUUGCUUUGGAGACUGGUUGGCUUGAGUGCGGAAGAGGUAAGUGGAAUUCCCAGUGUAGCGGUGAAAUGCGUAGAGAUUGGGAGGAACACCAGUGGCGAAGGCGACUUACUGGGCCGUAACUGACGCUGGGGCGCGAAAGCGUGGGGAGCGAACAGGAUUAGAUACCCUUGUAGUCC
RNAcentral lists this ribosomal RNA (428 nucleotides) under uncultured bacterium. RNAcentral describes it as "bacterial SSU rRNA". It matches the Rfam family "Bacterial small subunit ribosomal RNA", at positions 354 to 796 of the family's 1533-position model. The record is from RNAcentral.